Molecule: ribosomal RNA, 762 nt
Filed under: Microbacterium aurum
Lineage: Bacteria; Bacillati; Actinomycetota; Actinomycetes; Micrococcales; Microbacteriaceae
Description: bacterial SSU rRNA
Rfam family: Bacterial small subunit ribosomal RNA
Source: RNAcentral
GCUCUGCAUGGAUCAUUGGCGAACGGGUGAGUAACACGUGAGCAAUCUGCCCUUGACUCUGGGAUAAGCGCUGGAAACGGCGUCUAAUACCGGAUACGAGCUGCGAAGGCAUCUUCAGCAGCUGGAAAGAACUUCGGUCAAGGAUGAGCUCGCGGCCUAUCAGCUUGUUGGUGAGGUAACGGCUCACCAAGGCGUCGACGGGUAGCCGGCCUGAGAGGGUGACCGGCCACACUGGGACUGAGACACGGCCCAGACUCCUACGGGAGGCAGCAGUGGGGAAUAUUGCACAAUGGGCGCAAGCCUGAUGCAGCAACGCCGCGUGAGGGACGACGGCCUUCGGGUUGUAAACCUCUUUUAGCAGGGAAGAAGCGAAAGUGACGGUACCUGCAGAAAAAGCACCGGCUAACUACGUGCCAGCAGCCGCGGUAAUACGUAGGGUGCAAGCGUUAUCCGGAAUUAUUGGGCGUAAAGAGCUCGUAGGCGGUUUGUCGCGUCUGCUGUGAAAACUGGAGGCUCAACCUCCAGCCUGCAGUGGGUACGGGCAGACUAGAGUGCGGUAGGGGAGAUUGGAAUUCCUGGUGUAGCGGUGGAAUGCGCAGAUAUCAGGAGGAACACCGAUGGCGAAGGCAGAUCUCUGGGCCGUAACUGACGCUGAGGAGCGAAAGGGUGGGGAGCAAACAGGCUUAGAUACCCUGGUAGUCCACCCCGUAAACGUUGGGAACUAGUUGUGGGGUCCAUUCCACGGGAUUCCGUGACGCAGCU